Molecule: long non-coding RNA, 3014 nt
Organism: Pezoporus flaviventris
Lineage: Eukaryota; Metazoa; Chordata; Aves; Psittaciformes; Psittacidae
Exons: 4
Source: RefSeq, a predicted model, not a curated record
GGGUGCACGGCCUUGCAGGGCUGCACUUCAUGGCGGCAUCCAAAAGGAGAAGCUUUCCUGCCCUGCACCUUGCUGAGGCUGUUAGGGUUAGCUGACCUGGUGGUGCUGUUGCCACGGCUGAAACCUGCUGUAUUUCUGGUUGCAGCACAUGCCCUCAGUGGCUUCCAGCGGUUGGGGGCUGCCAGAAACCCAGGCAGCAGCUGCCGUGCUCGGCCCUGCGAGGCUGUGAUCUAUAACGUGCAUUGUCUUUUUAUGUAAUGUGUUUUAUUAAACAUCUUCUAAAGCUUACAAGUGUCCCCAGGACAUAACUCUCCAGCACAACGCAAUGCUCUGCCAAGAAAUGAAGCAUGAUUUAUGGUGGUAACGGUUAUCCUCUGCUUUUCUUAAAAAACAUUAUUACAGCAAUAGCUCUGUCGAGUACAGGACUGUAACAUGCUGCAUUUGGCACGUUUAUGACAACAGUGCUCUGGUUUUCUUAACUCCACAGCUCGGAGCUGGCAGUAUGUCAAAUUCUUGAGACAGAUGUUUAAAUGAAUUUCUUAAGAGGACAGUGAAAUACUUCUAAAACAUCAUACGGCGCUGAGUGUCUCAAUAUGAGCAGCAACAUUAUUUCUUUAGCGUGCAGGUAGGGCAGGGCAGCACAUGGCCUCUCUGGUUUCAAUCUCACAGUAAAUAAUGGAAGUAGCAAAUGUUGAAUUAGCUUUCUGGGCAUCCCAGCCUGCUGUAACUUUCUGGUCAAGGUGGGGGAAUGAACGGGUGCCUGAUCUGCUGGAUAUCAUUCACAUUCGCGUAUCCUUUGUGAGCAGUGAAAACAGAUCCCCAUUUGUUUUGAAUGCAGUUCCCACCAUGUCGAUACAGGACUAAGUGGUCUCACGCUGACAUUGCGACUGUGUCAUUGUGGUCCCAGUGGUUAGGGUUUCAGACCAGAAAUGACAAUCAUUUGGGAAAAUGUAAAUGAGAACCCUGCUCGCAUCUCUGCGAGGCACAGAGCAGUCGAGAAUUUCCAUCAAAACACUGAAAAUUCUUGGGGUUUAAAAAAUUAAUCAUCCCAUUUUGUUUUUUUAGGUACUGGCUAAGGCGAGGAGAGUGCUGUAGUUAACAAAGCCAGGGUGUUCGGCUCUGGCACGGCUGCUCGCAGCUUUCCAGCACGGAAAACCAGGAACCCACAAAGGCAGAAGUCGGCAUUGUCGGAGACAUCAUCGCCCUCGGCACAGAGUGUGUUUGCGGCUGGGAGGGGAGGGCGCCCCACAACGAGGCUCCGCAGGCAUGCUCUCGGAUUGAAGACAAGGGAAGCAUUGGUAACAGAGGUAGUGGGUGACCGUGAGGCAACUUCAUAAUUGACAUAUCUGACGACUCGUAAAGGUUGCAUCCUGAGGAGAUAAGUCCAUUUCCCAGGUUCCUCUGUAGAGACACUUUCAGAUUAGCUCCUUCCAUUUCCCGCCUGAGCAUGCUCCUCCAUGGACAGGCCAGAGGCAGGGGCGACAGGGCAGUUGCCCUUCAGGUGGACCUGGAGGCUGCAGAGGUGAAUGUAGCUCUUGUGGCAGUGGAUGCAUUUAUGGGGACGUUCCCGGGUGUGAAGACGCUUGUGCAGCUUCAGGUGCACAAACUGGGUGAAUUUGGCUGGGCAGAGCUUGCACUGGUAAGGCUUCUCUCCAGAGUGGAGCCGCAGGUUCAACAGAAGGACUUUGCAGAACAUAAGCUCCUAGAAAUGUUCCUCAGUAAAAUAACAAGGCAUGACAAAUCGGCUUUUGCCAAACCGCAGCAGUCACUUCACCAGCCAGUUCAAUUACUUACAGUACCGAAAAAACCAUGGCUGGCUGGGAUGAAAGCUGCCUUCAAAGAGAAGGUAUUCUCCAUCAGUAAACAGAUCAUUACUCAUUAAAUAUACUGCUUAGGAAUAUCUACAACAAAGCAGACUAUUUACUGCAGAUUUCUGUGGCAUUCGGUCUAUGCAAAGCUCCUCUGCUUACAGCUGCACUUUAUAAAAAAAACUGCUGAAGCAAAGCAAAAGGAAGCAAGAGCAGUUGGCUCCAGCUUAAGCUGAAACGUACUUUAAAGAAAAAAAAAAGGAAAAAGAAAUAUUUAUUUAGAAGGAAAUAGAAGCUAGCAUCCAUUUGGCUCAGUUCAGCACAUACACUGUUUAUUUGUAUUCAAAGGCUCGACCUUGUUAUCUGGACAUAAUAUAAUCUGAAGAGUGUACUGAAAGAUGUCUUCAAUAGAAAAAGAAGUAUGCUUUUAUCUCAUCUCCCACAGUUAAUAGUUAUAUAAUCACAAAAUGAUGUCUUGUAAGAUAUUUUAUUACAGGGCAAAAACUACAAGAAGGUUUCAUAUUCAUGCUUACUUAUGUGCAAAGUUUUCCAUCAGGAGGUACAAGUCAAUGCCGCUAAGUAUGCAACUUGAAAGUAUCGCAGCCCUGCAGCCAAGUUUCUGCUUCUGUGCCUGACUGAUCUUACUUCACUAACUGAGGUGAGAAACUCUUAUUUCUGAUCUUUGGAGGACCAGCUGAACCCAGUGAGGAAGAUGGGAACAGGCAAUGACCACACCACUUUCAACACUGAUUCUUUGCUUGACUAUUCACUACCCUGAUGGAAUCUAUCAUUUGGCAACAUUACCCUAUAAGGCAAAGAAAUGGCCAUUUAUAAAAUGUACCCAAAAAAACCCAGCUGCUUUCAAAGCAUGCUCUUUCUCACAGCAACCCAUUUGUACAGUAGCAUCCUUCUUGAAAUGCUGCUAGACUAGCAGCAAGAAAAUUUAGUUUUGACAUGUGGGCAGUUUGUGUAUUUCCAAGUUGCAAUGAAAUGCUACUGAACAUGGUUAUGUUCAAUAAUAUAUUUAGGAUAAAACAUAGGGUGUGUUGCAAUGCAAGCACAUACGCAUGUAAGUGUGCAGAGAGGUUCCCAAUGUCUUCUUUUGAUGUUACAGCUUAAUGCAAGGCUGUUUCAGAAAUAAAUUAAUAGUAUGUUGUGUUGAAUGGCAUUAAAAAUCAUCUCCUUUCUUCGAUAGUUUUCUCUGUA